This 459-nucleotide ribosomal RNA is filed under the name uncultured bacterium. Its description in RNAcentral is "partial 16S ribosomal RNA". It matches the Rfam family "Bacterial small subunit ribosomal RNA", at positions 338 to 795 of the family's 1533-position model. The record is from RNAcentral.
CCUACGGGAGGCAGCAGUGAGGAAUAUUGGUCAAUGGUCGGAAGACUGAACCAGCCAAGCCGCGUGAAGGACGAAGGUACCGAGCAUCGUAAACUUCUUUUGUCAAGGGACAAAAGCAGGGACGAGGCCCCGGCCGAGGGUACCUGAAGAAAAAGCAUCGGCUAACUCCGUGCCAGCAGCCGCGGUAAUACGGAGGAUGCGAGCGUUAUCCGGAUUUAUUGGGUUUAAAGGGUGCGUAGGCGGGCUGUUAAGUCAGCGGUAAAAGCCCGGGGCUCAACCCCGGCCCGCCGUUGAAACUGGCUGUCUCGAGAUGGCGAGAGGUAUGCGGAAUGCGCAGUGUAGCGGUGAAAUGCUUAGAUAUUGCGCAGAACUCCGAUUGCGAAGGCAGCAUGCCGGCUGCAAUCUGACGCUGAGGCACGAAAGCGUGGGUAUCGAACAGGAUUAGAUACCCGGGUAGUC